Tripterygium wilfordii is the source of this 1183-nucleotide RNA transcript. It is a transcript of the gene named probable aminotransferase ACS10, with no coding region annotated. The transcript is spliced from 2 exons. The record is from RefSeq and is a predicted model, not a curated record. Lineage: Eukaryota; Viridiplantae; Streptophyta; Magnoliopsida; Celastrales; Celastraceae.
UAAACGCCAACGGAUAAGGCCGACAUUGAAAACAAGAUCCAACGCAAUAGGCCCUCCUCCAAUAAAGUUCCCCUAGCUGGGCCGAUAUUAGAUCUGGCGCAGUAAUUUUUAUUUUGUGUUUAUAUACUAAACAACAAGGGCAGUUUAGGAAAACUGAAAAGUAUGGCUGAUUUUACAGUUAACAAAAUCCAAAACCGUAAACUACCAAAUCCCAUCUUCCCCUCUCCUCUCAAUGGACGGUUCUGGAGGCCAAAUACUUCCGAACGAAACAAUACACACACUGUGAAGUACCGUAGUAAUCAAAGCACCGAACUCUGCACUCUCCACCGACCUGACCAACAGAUGCUCUAUAUCACGGCGGGACCACCCGACAAGCCCAUGACCCGAACUUCGAACUCCGAGCCUGCAUACCCGCCGCGCAAUCCUGCCGGAGCAACUGGCAUGUGGCUUAUGGUGCCCCUGCAGGCCAUUAUCCAAAGCAGAGGAGGCAUAAUUAUAGCUUCGUUGAUUCCUUGCGCUCUUUUCUACCUUUUCCAGCUGUAUCUGAAACUGCACCGUUCUUCGGACCCGCCGACAUCUUCGAAUACUCCGUCGCUAUCAACGUCGUCACCGAACCCGGUGGAUUUUCCUCGAAGUUCUUCGCGCUUAAAAUUUCCCACCCGUGGCUCCAUCGUGCGGGUCCACGUUUCGAACCGUGCUAGCUCUAUUGCGAAACCGAACGAUUUGCGGUGUUCUAUUGGGUUGGAUAAAGUUGCUAAGGACCCAUAUGAUAGAAUGGAUAAGCCAGAUGGGAUUAUCCAGCUUGGUUUGCCCGAGAACAGACUAAGUUUUUGAAAUUUAUAUCUGUUUUAGUUUUCAAACUAUUGUGGUUUUGCUUUUCUGAUUGGUGCAAAUUGGUCUAUUGUGAUGUAGUUAUGCUUGGAUUUGAUUGAGAUGUGGUUUUCUGAGAACUCCAUGUCUUCGAUAAUAGGAAGCGGAGAUGAUGAUUUGAGCAUUAGUGGGAUUGCAACAUGCCAACCAUUUGAUGGAUUGAUGGAGUUGAAAGUGCUCAUGUCAGUGUGACCAGCCUUAUCAAGGAAACCAGAAGCUGGUGGAUGCAGUGGAAAGAGGUAUUCCAAGAAGGAAGCUCCCACAAGACUUGAAAACCCAGUUGCAUAGCUGCUGGUUGUACUUUCAGUUUCAG